AGGAAAAAAAGUUUCUUCCUUCUUUAUUUGAGUUUUGGGAAGUGCAAAUUCCAGAGAAUCUGCAGACGCUCUUCAAGGAAAAGCGAGAAAAGGACUUCAGAGGAGAGGAAAACUGGGAGAAGGCUAGCUUUGGAGUAAGGACUAAGGAGACAUUUAACUCAAAUGGAAAAUGACCUAAGGACUGGAUCAUGAGGGGCAAUUCUGUUACUACAAGUAAAUUGCAAAACUUGAGUGAAGAGAAAGCUACAAUUGAAUCAAUUAACAAUUAGACAUUUUUGGGGAUUGAAGAGAAUAUACUCCCAACAAGUCACAACCACAUCAUGUUUCUUUGGAAUUAGUCUUCUUCCAAUUUUAUAAAUUGUACUGUUUGAUUAAUUUAAUUAUAAGUAGCAUUAUUCUAUUCAAAGAAAAGUUGUAUGCAUUCAAAACCUAUUGAUUAUUAAAUGAAAGAAAAAAUUUUCAAAUAAUUAAUGAGAAAUUAAUUCUUUUUGAGUCGAAGGUUCAAAUUCUCUCCUACUCUAUUAUUGUACUCGAAUAAUAAAAAUUUUAAUUCAUAUAUGGUAUUUAUUUUCCUUAUUUUCGCCAUUUAAAAGCGAUUUUGUCC
Molecule: non-coding RNA, 604 nt
Organism: Benincasa hispida (wax gourd)
Lineage: Eukaryota; Viridiplantae; Streptophyta; Magnoliopsida; Cucurbitales; Cucurbitaceae
Source: RefSeq, a predicted model, not a curated record